AAAAAAGGAGUCGAAAAAAAUAUUUAAAAUAAUAAAGAAUAUAUUUAUGAAGUCUCUGAAGAUGAUUAUGGAUGCAGGCUUAGUAAAAAGAGAACAGAUAAAGAAAAUACUCGACUUUUUUUCGGAAAAAAUAUAAAAUGGAUUACAGGUAAAAGCAGAUACAAAGAAAGAAAAUAUGCUUUUAUUUAAUCAUAUGCUUAAAUGAAAACUCUAACAUAAUCUUCGUAUCACGUGGACAUUUACGUUGCUGUAAAAGUUACGUACAGAAGUUAAAAUGUGUCCUGUUUGCAGCAACAGCUAUUAUCAGUAUAUAUCAACGAUAAUAUUAUAAAUCGGAUAAAGGGUUUUCAUAUAUGAAUAUUCUUAUCUACACCUGGUUGUUUUGAUAAUGAAUUUAUUGGAACUCUCUCCAAC
Cyphomyrmex costatus is the source of this 414-nucleotide long non-coding RNA. RefSeq lists it as uncharacterized. The record is from RefSeq and is a predicted model, not a curated record. The transcript has 3 exons. NCBI's taxonomy places the organism in Eukaryota, Metazoa, Arthropoda, Insecta, Hymenoptera, Formicidae.